CCCACGGAGAAAAGGAAACUGCCUUCUCCCAUUAAGAUACAUAACGACAAGCAGGACAAAAGUGAAAGGAAAGAGGACGAAAGUGAAAGGAAGGAAAACCAAAGUGCCAGGCUAGAUAACCGAAGUGCCAGGAAAAAGAACCCAAAUGGCAGGGUAGUGAAUCGUGGACAAGCAAAGACGGGAAUAAACAAGACGGCUUGGCAACUAAUACAGGAGCGGAGAUCUCGAGGUGAUUGGUAAUUUAUUCUAGCUUGGGGAUACAAUAAGUUUGCAUGUAAUGAUGUAUGCAUUUUACGUAAUGCAGAAUAAAUUCAUUUGUCUAAAACUGUGUUCAUUGGAAAUUUUCAUCAACAUGAAACUUACUGUAAUGGCAUCAUCAUAAUAUAAAUUUGUAAUAAUUUAGAAACAAGGUAAGAUAUAUAUACAUCUUUUUUGAUAUACAAUUGCUUUUGAAGAUUUAGAGCAAAGAGAUUGUAGGGUUAAUUAUUGAUGGAUAUUUCUCAAUGACAUUUAUGAUUGAUAUUAGCUGCUCUUGCCGUCUAAAAUUUGGAGUGUUUUUUGUUAUGGUGAGCAUAAAGUUUUUCAGACAAACGCAAACAAAUCAUUUCUGAGUCGGAUUCUCCAAGUAGCUACGAUGAUGAAGAGAUAAGGACAAGACACAAAAAAGCGCGUCAUUCGAAAAAAGAGAAAGGAGCCGGUCCAGGAAAAGAAGCCCAUCAAAGAAAAAAGAUCUGUUUCCCAUUGAUGAAGGACGUUUUCAGAGGAAAGUUCUGUCUCUCUUAACGGAGAUACGUGACUCAGUAAAAAGUGCAGGAAACGUGUCAGUGGAACAGUGCAGGGGAUUACAGAUUAAGCAACUGUCAACUCUUGAUGAGCUGAAAGAGUUUGAACAGUUUCUCGAGGAGAGGGACAACCUUGAAAAACUGACAUUCACAUUCAACAGAAUAGGAGGGAACUCUGCUGCCGAGCACAUUAAGAGGAUAAUGGAG
This is a long non-coding RNA of Ruditapes philippinarum (Manila clam), 989 nucleotides long. RefSeq lists it as uncharacterized. The record is from RefSeq and is a predicted model, not a curated record. Lineage: Eukaryota; Metazoa; Mollusca; Bivalvia; Venerida; Veneridae. The transcript has 3 exons.